Molecule: transfer RNA, 69 nt
Filed under: Sus scrofa (pig)
Lineage: Eukaryota; Metazoa; Chordata; Mammalia; Artiodactyla; Suidae
Description: tRNA-Ile
Rfam family: tRNA
About the family: Transfer RNA (tRNA) molecules are approximately 80 nucleotides in length.
Source: RNAcentral
AGAAAUAUGUCUGAUAAAAGAGUUACUUUGAUAGAGUAAAAAAUAGAGGUUCAAACCCUCUUAUUUUUA